RNAcentral lists this long non-coding RNA (1211 nucleotides) under Coturnix japonica (Japanese quail). Its description in RNAcentral is "lncRNA (ENSCJPG00005018002.1)". Lineage: Eukaryota; Metazoa; Chordata; Aves; Galliformes; Phasianidae. The record is from RNAcentral.
GUGAUUGGGAGCUCCAGCUCCAGCCCUGCUGUGGUCCCACCCUCACAGGCUGAGUGAAGGCAUCUGCUCCAAGCAGCCAAUCCUACAGGGAACCUGCUGCUUCCCAGCACCUGCUCCCUGCCCAGUCCCCUCCUCUGCAUAUACAAAAACCUAUUAAGCACAGACAAGCCUCAAGUAUUCCCCAAAUGAGUCAUUAACCAGGUCCUGGUAACAGGUGUUCCUUUAAAAAGCCCUCUGAAGCCUUCAGAAACAAGGGGAGCGGGAGUGCUUGGCUUUCAUCAUGCACCAAAAGCAGAUUUCUUUUCGCAGCAGGAUGGCAGGCUGCCGCGGCCGAUAAAAGCACGCGGUGCGUUCAGCCCCAGCUGCAGCGGGACCGUGUGCCCAGCGCUGCCUUCCCCACUUGUAAUUUCUUAAUCUGGUUUGGAAUCUUUUAUUACUCCCGGCUCUCAUCUGCUUUUUGUUCGCUCGUUGCCUCCUCCCUUCUUGCUCCAAUUAAAUUAUGAGCUGCAGCCGAUUGCUUUUAGCCGGGGCUGCUCCACCUUCUGCUCUCGGGCGGCGUGGCUGAAUGCUCAGAGCAUCCGGGCCGCGGUCCCUUAUAGGGAUGCUCUUUGCAUGCAUUUAAAGCCAGGAGCGCUGUGGAUCCCAGUACCUGCUCCUCUGGGUGCCAGCACACACUUAUGGGAGCACCAUGGGCUGAGCGGUGCUGGCACUGAACGCACAUUGCAGCAAUGCCUGAGAAAUCGCUGCUGUGAGGACGGGGUUAGGAAGAGCAGGUACAUUGGGAAGAAUGGGGCUGCUGCUGUAUUUUAAGCCGCCUGGUUUGAAAGCUGUGAAAGCAGAACGGAGGAUUUAAUGGCACGUUAAAUAUACGGCUGAUUGUUAGGUCCAAUUCUGAUUCCAAGGCAAAUAUGGCCCUGGGAAUUAAGGAUGAAGAUGAGUUUCACUACGAGGAUCCAAAGGGCGGCUGCCCAUCUGUAGGGCCAUCUGUGGUGCCGGCGGGGUGGGUGAUGGAGCAGGAAGAGUCUGGAGGUGAUGGUUGGACCAUGGAGCUGCCCCAGCUCCCAGCCCUGCAGCACCCUUUGAUGGAGCUGAAUGGUGAGAACAAGCAGAGAGAAAACGCUGCUGAGCAGGAGAAAAUGGGAGGGGGGCACCAAACCCAACCCCAUUCUUUUGCAUAUUCAAAUGAAGUCGUAAUAUUGCUAGGGACUUGA